This 635-nucleotide long non-coding RNA is filed under the name Rattus norvegicus (Norway rat). Its description in RNAcentral is "long non-coding RNA NONRATT014264". Lineage: Eukaryota; Metazoa; Chordata; Mammalia; Rodentia; Muridae. The record is from RNAcentral.
GGUUUUUUUCCAGGCAAGGUGUCUCUGAACCUGGAAUUCAAAUGUCUUGGUGAGGCUGGAAGCCAGCAAGCUUUAGUGAACCUAUUCCACUGAGGUCAGUGCUAGGAUCACAGGCACACACUUGGUGUCUGACUUUUUACAUGUAUGCUGGAAUGAAAACUCCUAUGCUCAUGAUUGUACAACAAGCACUGAGCAAUUUUCAAUCAUGGUUUUGUUUGUUUUUAUGAGAUUUUUUUCAUAAUGUCUUUAUUGAUCAUUUUCACAUCAUGCACCCUUAGUUAGGAGUUUACUGCUGUGAACAGACACCAUGACUAAGGCAACUCUCACAAUGACAACAUUCAAUUGGGGCUGGCUUAUAGGUUCAGAGGGUCUUAACGCCCAGGUCAACAGUGACACACUACUCCAACAAGGCCACUUGUCCUAUAGUGUCACUCCGUGGGCCAAACAUAUACAAACCAUCACACACUCAUCACACUCACUUCCCAGUCCUCCCAUAUCUGUCCCAACUCUUUUGACCCCACACACACACAAAAAAAAAAAAAAAAGAAAAAGAAAAGAGAAAAAAAAAACCCACACAAUGUUAGUCCAAUUUGUGUUAUCUAAUAUACUCAUUGGAGCAUGGUCAAAUUCCCAGU